RNAcentral lists this ribosomal RNA (253 nucleotides) under uncultured bacterium. RNAcentral describes it as "partial 16S ribosomal RNA". It matches the Rfam family "Bacterial small subunit ribosomal RNA", at positions 524 to 776 of the family's 1533-position model. The record is from RNAcentral.
UACAGAGGGGGCAAGCGUUGUUCGGAAUUACUGGGCGUAAAGGGCGCGUAGGCGGCCGCCUAAGUCAGACGUGAAAUCCCUCGGCUCAACCGGGGAACUGCGUCUGAUACUGGGUGGCUUGAAUCCGGGAGAGGGAUGCGGAAUUCCAGGUGUAGCGGUGAAAUGCGUAGAUAUCUGGAGGGACACCGGUGGCGAAGGCGGCAUUCUGGACUGUAACUGACACUGAUGAACGAAAGCCAGGGGAGCAAACGGG